UUAAAAUAGUUCUAUUGGAUAUUAGUGAUGUACAUGAAUGCGAAUAAAUAGUACAAAAAAAAAGAUCACCAGGUUUCGCAGGAAUUCCUCGGAUGAAACCAAGGUCUUAGAUUUAUAAGGUUGCCUCAUACAGCCGAUUUAGCCACUUCCUGCCAGAUUCCGGAUAUACGUCAUCCGUAGUCGAGCUGUGGCCUAGCGUCUGCUUCACUACUGUAAGCGAGAGAAGAAAAUUUUGGAAUUUAACUAUUUUUUUUUAAUUUGUCGAGCGUUUUUAGACUCAUAAUCUUCGAAGAUGCCAGGAGCAACGUGUGCUGUUGCAAAUUGUGAUAACAGCCAUUGUAAAACAAAGUCAUUAGACAGGAAAGUCAGUUAUUUUAGAUUUCCUAAAGAUCCAAUAAUAAGAAGAAAAUGGAUCCAUAACUGUAAAAGAAAAGACAAAUUUAAUCCUGAUUCUUGUCAUGUUUGCUCUGAUCAUUUCACAGAAAAUGAUUUUGAGAGAAAUUUAAAAGCUGAAUUAUUAGGUUUAUUG
Centruroides sculpturatus (bark scorpion) is the source of this 529-nucleotide long non-coding RNA. RefSeq lists it as uncharacterized. NCBI's taxonomy places the organism in Eukaryota, Metazoa, Arthropoda, Arachnida, Scorpiones, Buthidae. The transcript is spliced from 2 exons. The record is from RefSeq and is a predicted model, not a curated record.